AGCGAACGCUGGCGGCGUGCUUAACACAUGCAAGUCGAGUGCGUAGCCCUUUGUAGCAAUACAGAGGGUGGGCGCACGGCGCACGGGUGAGUAACACGUGGGUAACCUGCCCUUCGGUGGGGAUAACCCGCGAAAGCGGGGCGUAAUUCCGCAUAACAUUCCGGGGACGACAUGUUCUCGGACUCAAAGGAGUGAUUCGCCGGAGGAGGGG
Molecule: ribosomal RNA, 211 nt
Filed under: uncultured bacterium
Lineage: Bacteria
Description: partial 16S ribosomal RNA
Rfam family: Bacterial small subunit ribosomal RNA
Source: RNAcentral